Molecule: ribosomal RNA, 507 nt
Filed under: Blastocystis sp.
Lineage: Eukaryota; Bigyra; Opalinata; Blastocystidae
Description: SSU rRNA
Source: RNAcentral
GUGUAAGUAUAAAUAAUUUUACUUUGAAACUGCGAAUGGCUCAUUAUAUCAGUUAUAGUUUAUUAGAAAUAYUUUACUACUUGGAUAACCGUAGUAAUUCUAGGGCUAAUACAUGAGUAAAWCCUCAACUUCGGAAGAGGUGUGUUUAUUAGUAUGAAAACCAUAUAUCUUCGGAUAUAAUAGUGAGUAAUAAUAACCUUUCRUAUCGUAUGUCGUAAGAUAACGAUAGUUCUUUCAAGUUUCUGCCCUAUCAGCUUUCGAUGGUAGUAUAUGGGACUACCAUGGCAGUAACGGGUAACGAAGAAUUUGGGUUCGAUUUCGGAGAGGGAGCCUGAGAGAUGGCUACCACAUCCAAGGAAGGCAGCAGGCGCGUAAAUUACCCAAUCCUGACAUAGGGAGGUAGUGACAAUAAAUCACAAUGCGGAACUUUUAGUUUUGCAAUUGGAUUGAGAACAAUGUACAAAUGUUAUCGAUAAACAAUUGGAGGGCAAGUCUGGUGCCAGCAGC